RNAcentral lists this ribosomal RNA (497 nucleotides) under uncultured bacterium. Its description in RNAcentral is "partial 16S ribosomal RNA". It matches the Rfam family "Bacterial small subunit ribosomal RNA", at positions 28 to 507 of the family's 1533-position model. The record is from RNAcentral.
GAUGAACGCUGGCGGCGUGCCUAAUACAUGCAAGUCGAGCGAACAGACGAGGAGCUUGCUCCUCUGACGUUAGCGGCGGACGGGUGAGUAACACGUGGAUAACCUACCUAUAAGACUGGGAUAACUUCGGGAAACCGGAGCUAAUACCGGAGAAUAUAUUGAACCGCAUGGUUCAAUAGUGAAAGACGGUUUUGCUGUCACGUAUAGAUGGAUCCGCGCCGCAUUAGCUAGUUGGUAAGGUAACAGCUUACCAAGGCAACGAUGCGUAGCCGACCUGAGAGGGUGAUCGGCCACACUGGAACUGAGACACGGUCCAGACUCCUACGGGAGGCAGCAGUAGGGAAUCUUCCGCAAUGGGCGAAAGCCUGACGGAGCAACGCCGCGUGAGUGAUGAAGGUCUUCGGAUCGUAAAACUCUGUUAUUAGGGAAGAACAAAUGUGUAAGUAACUAUGCACGUCUUGACGGUACCUAAUCAGAAAGCCACGGCUAACUACGUG